RNAcentral lists this ribosomal RNA (402 nucleotides) under uncultured bacterium. RNAcentral's name for it is "bacterial SSU rRNA". It matches the Rfam family "Bacterial small subunit ribosomal RNA", at positions 355 to 774 of the family's 1533-position model. The record is from RNAcentral.
UGGGGAAUAUUGGACAAUGGGGGAAACCCUGAUCCAGCAAUGCCGCGUGAGUGAAGAAGGCCUUAGGGUUGUAAAGCUCUUUCGCCCGCGAAGAUAAUGACGGUAGCGGGAGAAGAAGCCCCGGCUAACUCCGUGCCAGCAGCCGCGGUAAUGCGGAGGGGGCUAGCGUUGUUCGGAAUUACUGGGCGUAAAGCGUACGUAGGCGGAUGCGCAAGUUGGGGGUGAAAUCCCGGGGCUUAACCUCGGAAUUGCCCUCAAAACUGCACGUCUUGAGACCGAGAGAGGUAAGGCGAAUUCCUAGUGGAGAGGUGAAAUUCGUAGAUAUUAGGAAUAACACCAGUGGCGAAGGCGCCUUACUGGCUCGGUACUGACGCUGAGGCACGAAAGCGUGGGGAGCAAACA